GCACCAGUAGCUCAGCUGGAUAGAGUAUCUGACUACGAAUCAGGGGGUCGCAGGUUCGAAUCCUGCCUGGUGUACCA
RNAcentral lists this transfer RNA (77 nucleotides) under Desulfobacterales bacterium GWB2_56_26. RNAcentral's name for it is "tRNA-Arg". It matches the Rfam family "tRNA". From Rfam's summary of the family: Transfer RNA (tRNA) molecules are approximately 80 nucleotides in length. Their secondary structure includes four short double-helical elements and three loops (D, anti-codon, and T loops). RNAcentral also lists the same sequence under 1 other name. The record is from RNAcentral. Lineage: Bacteria; Pseudomonadati; Thermodesulfobacteriota; Desulfobacteria; Desulfobacterales.